Molecule: ribosomal RNA, 1481 nt
Filed under: uncultured Coxiella sp.
Lineage: Bacteria; Pseudomonadati; Pseudomonadota; Gammaproteobacteria; Legionellales; Coxiellaceae
Description: bacterial SSU rRNA
Rfam family: Bacterial small subunit ribosomal RNA
Source: RNAcentral
GGGUUGAUCAUGGCUCAGAUUGAACGCUAGCGGCAUGCCUAACACAUGCAAGUCGAACGGCAGCGGGGGAGCUUGGCUCCCUGACGGCAAGUGGCGGACGGGUGAGUAAUACAUUAGGAAUCUACCUUAUAGUGGGAUAACCUGGAAACUCAGGCUAAUACCGCACUCAAUCUUUUUAAAAGCAAAGCGGGGGAUCUUCGGACCUCGUGCUAUAAGAUGAGCCUGCGUCGGAUUAGCUAGUUGGGUAAAGGUGUGGCCUACCAAGGCAACAACAAUCCGUAGCUGGUCCUGAGAGGACGAUCAGCCACACUGGGACUGAGACACGGCCCAGACUCCUACGGGAGGCAGCAGUGGGGAAUAUUGGACAAUGGGGGAAACCCUGAUCCAGCAAUGCCGCGUGUGUGAAGAAGGCCUUCGGGUUGUAAAAGCACUUUCGGUGGGAAAGAAAGUCUCAAAGUUAAUACCUUUUGAGAGUUGACGUUACCCACAAAAGAAGCACUGGCUAACUCUGUGCCAGCAGCCAUGAUAAUACAGAGAGUGCAAGCGUUAAUCGGAAUUACUGGGCGUAAAGCGCGCGUAAAGGUGUAUUUAAGUCGAAUGUAGAAGCCUAAAACUAACCUAGGAACUGCAUCCGAUACUAAAUAUCUAGAGUAUGGUAGAGGGAAGUGGAAUUUCCGGUGUAGCGGUGAAAUGCGUAGAUAUCAGGAAAGAACACCAGUGGCGAAGGCGGCUUCCUAGACCAAUACUGACACUGAGGUGCGAAUGCGUGGGAGCAAACGGGAUUAGAGACCCUGGUAGUCCACGCCGUCAACGAUGAGAACUAGCUGUUAAAAAGUUUACUUUCUAGUAGCAAAGCCUAACGCGUUAAGUUCUCCGCCUGGGGAGUACGGCCGCAAGGUUAAAACUCAAAGAAAUUGACGGGGGCCCCGCACAAGCGGUGGAGCAUGUGGUUUAAUUCGAUGCAGCAUGAAAAACCUUACCUACCCUUGACAUCCUCGGAACUUGUCAGAGAUGACUUGGUGCCUUCGGGAACCGGUGACAGGUGCUGCAUGGCUGUCGACAGCUCGUGUCGUGAGAUGUUGGGUUAAGUCCCGUAACGAGCACAACCCUCGUCCUUAGUUGCCAGCGGUUCGGCCGGGAACUCUAAGGAAACUGCCAGCGAUAAACCGGAGGAAGGUGAGGAUGAUGUCAAGUCAUCAUGGCCCUUACGGGUAGGGCUACACACGUGCUACAAUGGGCAGUACAAAGGGUUGCUACAUCGUGAGGUAAAGCCCCAAUCCCAAAAAACUGUUCGUAGUCGGAUUAGGUCACAACUCAACUCCAUGAAGUUGGAAUCGCUAGUAAUCGCGAAUCAGAAUGUCGCGGUGAAUACGUUCUCGGGCCUUGUACACACCGCCCGUCACACCAUGGAAGUGGUGUACCAGAAGCGGGUAAGCUAACCCUCGAGCUGCUCACCACGGUAUGAUUCAUGACUGGGGUGA